Molecule: ribosomal RNA, 610 nt
Filed under: Escherichia coli
Lineage: Bacteria; Pseudomonadati; Pseudomonadota; Gammaproteobacteria; Enterobacterales; Enterobacteriaceae
Description: partial 23S ribosomal RNA
Rfam family: Bacterial large subunit ribosomal RNA
Source: RNAcentral
CAUAGGUUAAUGAGGCGAACCGGGGGAACUGAAACAUCUAAGUACCCCGAGGAAAAGAAAUCAACCGAGAUUCCCCCAGUAGCGGCGAGCGAACGGGGAGCAGCCCAGAGCCUGAAUCAGUGUGUGUGUUAGUGGAAGCGUCUGGAAAGGCGCGCGAUACAGGGUGACAGCCCCGUACACAAAAAUGCACAUACUGUGAGCUCGAUGAGUAGGGCGGGACACGUGGUAUCCUGUCUGAAUAUGGGGGGACCAUCCUCCAAGGCUAAAUACUCCUGACUGACCGAUAGUGAACCAGUACCGUGAGGGAAAGGCGAAAAGAACCCCGGCGAGGGGAGUGAAAAAGAACCUGAAACCGUGUACGUACAAGCAGUGGGAGCACGCUUAGGCGUGUGACUGCGUACCUUUUGUAUAAUGGGUCAGCGACUUAUAUUCUGUAGCAAGGUUAACCGAAUAGGGGAGCCGAAGGGAAACCGAGUCUUAACUGGGCGUUAAGUUGCAGGGUAUAGACCCGAAACCCGGUGAUCUAGCCAUGGGCAGGUUGAAGGUUGGGUAACACUAACUGGAGGACCGAACCGACUAAUGUUGAAAAAUUAGCGGAUGACUUGUGGCU